Molecule: ribosomal RNA, 764 nt
Filed under: uncultured bacterium
Lineage: Bacteria
Description: bacterial SSU rRNA
Rfam family: Bacterial small subunit ribosomal RNA
Source: RNAcentral
AGAGUUUGAUCCUGGCUCAGGAUAAACGCUGGUGGCGUGCUUUAUGCAUGCAAGUCGAACGGUCCCGAUUUAUCGGGAUAGUGGCGAAUGGGUGAGUAAUGCGUAAGUAACCUGCCCCUAAGUAGGGGAUAACUCUGAGAAAUCGGAGCUAAUACCGUAUGUGGUGGUGGAGGUAAUGCUUCAUCACUAAAGCCUUAGGGCGCUUGGGGAGGGGCUUGCGUCCGAUUAGCUAGUUGGUAGAGUAACGGUCUACCAAGGCGGUGAUCGGUAGCUGGUCUGAGAGGAUGGUCAGCCACACUGGGACUGAGACACGGCCCAGACUCCUACGGGAGGCAGCAGCAAGGAAUAUUGUGCAAUGGGCGAAAGCCUGACACAGCGACGCCGCGUGGGGGAUGAAGGCCUUCGGGUUGUAAACCCCUUUUCUCAGGGAGGAAUAAUGACAGUACCUGAGGAAUAAGUCAUGGCUAACUACGUGCCAGCAGCCGCGGUAAAACGUAGGUGGCGAGCGUUAUCCGGAUUUACUGGGCGUAAAGAGGGCGCAGGCGGCUUUUCAAGUCGGAUGUAAAAUCUCCCGGCCUAACUGGGAGGGAUCAUUCGAUACUGUUAAGCUAGAGUGCAAUAGGGGGAGGUAGAAUUCCCGGUGUAGUGGUGAAAUGCGUAGAUAUCGGGAGGAAUACCAGUAGCGAAGGCGGCCUCCUGGGUUGUUACUGACGCUGAUGCCCGAAGGUGUGGGGAGCAAACAGGAUUAGAUACCCUGGUAGUCC